RNAcentral lists this small nucleolar RNA (121 nucleotides) under Echinops telfairi (small Madagascar hedgehog). RNAcentral's name for it is "Small nucleolar RNA SNORA61 (ENSETEG00000026116.1)". Lineage: Eukaryota; Metazoa; Chordata; Mammalia; Afrosoricida; Tenrecidae. The record is from RNAcentral.
AGUCCCCAGGGUCCUUACCCAUCCGCUCUAAACACUGGUCUGAAGGGUUCAUAAGGAGGAAGAGCAACACGGAGACUGCCUUCCAUUCUUUUCUGGCAAAUGGGGCUAGCUUCAAAACAGC